RNAcentral lists this ribosomal RNA (490 nucleotides) under uncultured bacterium. RNAcentral's name for it is "partial 16S ribosomal RNA". It matches the Rfam family "Bacterial small subunit ribosomal RNA", at positions 30 to 507 of the family's 1533-position model. The record is from RNAcentral.
AUUGAACGCUGGCGGCAGGCCUAACACAUGCAAGUCGAACGGUAACAGGAAGAAGCUUGCUUCUUUGCUGACGAGUGGCGGACGGGUGAGUAAUGUCUGGGAAACUGCCUGAUGGAGGGGGAUAACUACUGGAAACGGUAGCUAAUACCGCAUAACGUCGCAAGACCAAAGAGGGGGACCUUCGGGCCUCUUGCCAUCGGAUGUGCCCAGAUGGGAUUAGCUAGUAGGUGGGGUAACGGCUCACCUAGGCGACGAUCCCUAGCUGGUCUGAGAGGAUGACCAGCCACACUGGAACUGAGACACGGUCCAGACUCCUACGGGAGGCAGCAGUGGGGAAUAUUGCACAACGGGCGCAAGCCUGAUGCAGCCAUGCCGCGUGUAUGAAGAAGGCCUUCGGGUUGUAAAGUACUUUCAGCGGGGAGGAAGGGAGUAAAGUUAAUACCUUUGCUCAUUGACGUUACCCGCAGAAGAAGCACCGGCUAACUCCGUG